RNAcentral lists this long non-coding RNA (414 nucleotides) under Astyanax mexicanus (Mexican tetra). RNAcentral's name for it is "lncRNA (ENSAMXG00005000048.1)". Lineage: Eukaryota; Metazoa; Chordata; Actinopteri; Characiformes; Acestrorhamphidae. The record is from RNAcentral.
GCGCGCUGUAGUUGUCUGGUUGGCUGUGGGCUGGGUUUCCAUGACCUGAUCAAAUGCAGAUCAUAACAUCAGUAAUAGAUUUUAAUAAAAAUGGAGAAAGAUCGAACAAUAAACUCAGAAAAUAUCAGCAGCUCCCGCUGUACCUUCUUCACUACACAGCCGGACGAUUAUCGAUGUCUGGCGGAAGCUGCUGUAAGUGAGUGCUCUCAGUAAACCUGCUGUUCAACAUUUCUACAGUUUGAGUGACCUGAAAGAGCUCCCUUCUGUUCUCUGUGUUGCUCCUGUUUAUCUAAAAGAAGAUAAUCAGUAGAACUCUCCCCCAAGUGUUGUUAUGAAAUAAUCGAACAUCCUAUAAAUCCCCUAGACCUUUUUAUUGAACCCCAUUUCAACCAAUUGGAAAAAAAAGGACCUCCA